AUGAGUUANGUAUAAACCCCUUAACAAGUAUCAAUUGGAGGGCAAGYCUGGUGCCRGCAGCCGCGGUAAUUCCAGCUCCAAUANCGYAUAUUAAAGUUGUUGCAGUUAAAAAGCUCGUAGUUAAUCUUCUGUUAAUUUUUAUAUAUAAUAUYUCGAUAUUUAUAUAAUAUUAACAUAAUUCAUAUUACUUUUUAGUAUAUGAAACUUUACUUUGAGAAAAUUAGAGUGCUUAAAGCAGGCUAUUGCCUUGAAUACUCCAGCAUGGAAUAAUAUUAAGGAUUUUUAUUCUUCUUAUUGGUUCUAGAAUAAAAAUGAUGAUUAAUAGGAACAGUUGGGGGCAUUNGUAUUUAACAGUCAGAGGUGAAAUUCUUAGAUUUGUUAAAGACAAACUACUGCGAAAGCAUUUNCCAAGGAYGUUUUCAUUAAUCAAGAACGAAAGUUAGGGGAUCGAAGACGAUCAGAUACCGUNGUA
Molecule: ribosomal RNA, 472 nt
Filed under: Cryptosporidium parvum
Lineage: Eukaryota; Apicomplexa; Conoidasida; Eucoccidiorida; Cryptosporidiidae
Description: partial small subunit ribosomal RNA
Source: RNAcentral